This 274-nucleotide ribosomal RNA is filed under the name uncultured bacterium. Its description in RNAcentral is "partial 16S ribosomal RNA". It matches the Rfam family "Bacterial small subunit ribosomal RNA", at positions 523 to 796 of the family's 1533-position model. The record is from RNAcentral.
AUACGGGGGGUGCAAGCGUUAAUCGGAAUUACUGGGCGUAAAGCGCGCGUAGGCGGUUUGCUCAGUCGGAUGUGAAAGCCCAGGGCUCAACCUUGGAACUGCAUACGAUACUGGCAAACUAGAGUGUGAGAGAGGAUAGUGGAAUUUCCGGUGUGGCGGUGAAAUGCGUAGAUAUCGGAAGGAACAUCAGUGGCGAAGGCGACUGUCUGGCUCAACACUGACGCUGAGGUGCGAAAGCGUGGGUAGCAAACAGGAUUAGAAACCCCAGUAGUCC